CUGAUCACAAGAUACAUACAUCCUGCAAAACAGAGUUAGGCGUUCUAACGUUCCAAACUUCAGAGGCCCGAAACUCCAUCUUAGAGGCCGAAUUUGGGAAAUCUAAUUUCGCCGUAAUCAUGUGUAACUUUUUCUGUAGAUCAAUUUUCAUAUACAAUUCGCCUCGAUCCGAGAUCGUAUCGAAAAGUUACGGCUGUUUUACCGAAGCAUACACAUACGGCAAAAAUCCC
This 230-nucleotide long non-coding RNA is filed under the name Setaria viridis. RNAcentral's name for it is "long non-coding RNA (SVIR_LNC000331)". The record is from RNAcentral. Lineage: Eukaryota; Viridiplantae; Streptophyta; Magnoliopsida; Poales; Poaceae.